Chelonia mydas (Green sea turtle) is the source of this 2004-nucleotide RNA transcript. It is a transcript of the gene named POP5 homolog, ribonuclease P/MRP subunit, with no coding region annotated. The transcript is spliced from 4 exons. NCBI's taxonomy places the organism in Eukaryota, Metazoa, Chordata, Testudines, Cheloniidae. The record is from RefSeq and is a predicted model, not a curated record.
CAUUUUUCCUUCCUGAUUUGUCCUCUCUCCCUACCUUUUUCCCCCUUCAGUCUUCCCUUCUCCCCUCUCUGCCCCAUCACCAUCGUUCACACCCCUGUGCUCUUACUCCCCUUUGCUCCUCUCUACUUCAUUUUUCAACCAAGGUCCUCUCGCCCCACCGGGCUGGGCGAGGGAGCGGGUGCACUCACCCCCUCACACACAUGGGAAUGGUAAGAGUCUUUCGGAAGGUGAAUGGGUCACAGUGGCUGGCUAGGGUUCCAUGGGCCAGCGGAGAGCGCUAUAUCCUUGGAGGGGACCUAGGGCAGAUCUAAGCCUCUCACCGUGGAGGAGGGCCUGUGACGGUGGGGGCGGGGGGGCAGAGCUCGGAGGGCCCCGCCCCGGCAUGGCAGGGGUCGUUGCUUGGCAAAGCGCCUCCAGAAAGAAGAUGGGAGAGAAACAGGGCCAGGGGCUGGGGGGCAGACGAGGACAGAGGGGCCAAGGGCCUGACGGGACCUUAGUCAAGCCAGCCAGCCAGCCCGCCUUGCCCGGGCUCGCACUGGCCGGAGGAGGCGGGGCAGAGGCGGGGACCCGUGAGGCGAGGGGCGCUGUGCGAUGCUCUGCUGCCACCGCGUGGGGCUAACGCUGGGGCUGGGUCCUUGGGCGGGAGCGGGAAGGCAGGGGAUGCGCCGCGAGGCGCUGCCCGGGCUGCCGCAGGGACCCCGCGGUGAAGGGGGGAGGGGCGGUUAUCCGCGGGCUAGUGCCCCUGCGCUACCAGCCAGCCGCGUGCCGGCAGCGGGAAGCGCGCAACCACCAGUGGCUUGGUGCCGCGCGCGCCGCUCAAAGCCUUGCGCACGAGGACGUAAUGCGCGCGCGCGCGCGCGACGCUCCCUCGCGGUGUUUCCUGCCCCUCCGGCUCCGCCCCUGCUGAAUGCCACAGACGACACUCCCAUUGGCUGAGCUGAGUGUCUGUCUGGUUCGGCCUGUCGGGGAGGCUGGCGCGCGGCCGGAGGACAAGGAGAUGGUGCGGUUCAAGCACAGGUACCUGCUGUGUGAGAUCAUCUCCGAAGACCCCCGCUGCCGGCAGUGCAUCGACGAGCGGGCGGUGAGCGCUGCGGCGAAGGAUGCGGUGGCCCGGACCCACGGGGACUACGGGCUGGCCUGCUGCUCCAUCUCCUUCACAGGUCUCCGCCUGCCCCUGCUCCCGGACCCCCUUUCUCGGGGGGACUGCGCGCACCCCAGAGACGGGGUCGGGGGUUGCCCAUCGGUCACUGGACGUAGAGCGCGGGGUGUUCGUUUCAGUGUCACACGGGUGAAAUAUCUCAAUGCCUAUACAGGCAUAGUUCUCUUACGUUGCCGAAAGGACUUCUACAGGCUCCUGUGGUCAGCUCUUCCCUUUGUCACUUACUUAGAGAACAGGAACCAGCGUUAUUCCUGUUUCUUCAACACACUACAUGUUGGAGGUAAGAUUUUCAAUAGGUUUUCUUUGGUGGCCUGUCUUACUAAUUCCUCCUAGUGCAGCAAGAUCUCAGAACUUUGAGAUCUUGAGUUUCUUAUUACUCUUGUAAUGAUUAGGAGGGAAAGAGCCCUCAGUUAUUUAAUGUUUUUCCAGUUAUAUGACAGAUGAAGCCCAUGUAAUGCCUCACUGAGGCUAGCAUAAACUCACUUUUAAUAGGUCAUCCAAAAGCAAAGACAUUCUUCAUUCUGCUAUGGACUCUAGAAGCUUUGCAGGUUUUUUCAUUAUGCUGAGUUAUUCACUCAUCUGUCCUCCAUUAUUCUGUUACUGCUUUAAAAACAAAGGCCCUCCUACUUUGCAGAUGUGACUUUAUUCUCUCAACUUCACUACUUACAGCAAAGAGCUAGCCACCCUGAUCACAUUUUGGUAAUCUGCCAUCGGGGAGCUGUUUUGAUCAAAUCUCAAGUGGAGGAAAGUGGUAACUGAGUCCCUGUCAAGAAGUUUCAAACAGGGAAAGAAGGCUGGAGGGAUAGGACAAUAAGAACAUGUCAGAAGUUCCUCAUUCAGUACAA